Molecule: long non-coding RNA, 233 nt
Organism: Symphalangus syndactylus (siamang)
Lineage: Eukaryota; Metazoa; Chordata; Mammalia; Primates; Hylobatidae
Source: RefSeq, a predicted model, not a curated record
AUCAGUGUUUGUCUUUGUGCCACUUACAGGUUUCACCAUAAACAGCAGAAAUGAGAAUGCAACAGUGAACAAUUCCCAGGGAAGAUCAACAUUUUCCUUUAUGAUCCUAUAAAUCUGAAAUUUAAAUGGUACAAUGAUGACGAUGUAACAACUGAAAUGGACUUCACAAGAAUACGGUUCUGAGAAACGUUCACAAGAGGAGGAGAUAAAAAGGAAGAAAAAAAUGAAGGGCA